This 509-nucleotide ribosomal RNA is filed under the name uncultured Glomus. RNAcentral's name for it is "bacterial SSU rRNA". It matches the Rfam family "Eukaryotic small subunit ribosomal RNA", at positions 569 to 1083 of the family's 1831-position model. The record is from RNAcentral. Lineage: Eukaryota; Fungi; Glomeromycota; Glomeromycetes; Glomerales; Glomeraceae.
AGCAGCCGCGGUAAUUCCAGCUCCAAUAGCGUAUAUUAAAGUUGUUGCAGUUAAAAAGCUCGUAGUUGAAUUUCGGGGUCAGUAGGCUGGUCAUGCCACAGGUAUGUACUGGUCUCACUGAUUCCUCCUUCCUGAUGAACCGUAAUGCCAUUAAUUUGGUGCUGCGGGGAAACUGGACUGUUACUUUGAAAAAAUUGAGUGUUUAAAGCAGGCUAACGCUUGAAUACAUUAGCAUGGAAUAAUGAAAUAGGACGUUCGAUCCUAUUUUGUUGGUUUCUAGGAUUGACGUAAUGAUUAAUAGGGAUAGUUGGGGGCAUUAGUAUUCAAUUGUCAGAGGUGAAAUUCUUGGAUUUAUUGAAGACUAACUACUGCGAAAGCAUUUGCCAAGGAUGUUUUCAUUAAUCAAGAACGAAAGUUAGAGGUUCGAAGGCGAUCAGAUACCGCCCUAGUUCUAACCAUAAACGAUGUCGACUGGCGAUCCGCUAUCGUUAACUGAUAGACUUAGCGGG